CAAUAGCGUAUAUUAAAGUUGUUGCAGUUAAAAAGCUCGUAGUUGAAUUUUUGCUUGCCGCCGAUGUCGGAACUUCCGUACGUUCGGCGGCGUGCAUCCUUGGGUGGAACCUGUGUGGCAUUAGGUUGUCGUGCAGGGGAUGCUCAUCGUUUACUGUGAAAAAAUUAGAGUGUUCAAAGCAGGCUUACGCCGUUGAAUAUAUUAGCAUGGAAUAAUAAGAUAGGACCUUGGUACUAUUUUGUUGGUUUGCGCACCGAGGUAAUGAUUAACAGGGACAGUUGGGGGUAUUCGUAUUCCAAUGUCAGAGGUGAAAUUCUUGGAUUUCUGGAAGACGAACUACUGCGAAAGCAUUUACCAAGGAUGUUUNCAUUAA
This 373-nucleotide ribosomal RNA is filed under the name uncultured eukaryote. RNAcentral describes it as "partial 18S ribosomal RNA". It matches the Rfam family "Eukaryotic small subunit ribosomal RNA", at positions 592 to 976 of the family's 1831-position model. The record is from RNAcentral.